UACAGAGGUCCCAAGCGUUGUUCGGAUUCAUUGGGCGUAAAGGGUGCGUAGGUGGCGCCGUAAGUCAGGUGUGAAAUCUCGGGGCUUAACUCCGAAACUGCAUUUGAUACUGCGGUGCUUGAGGACUGGAGAGGAGACUGGAAUUUACGGUGUAGCAGUGAAAUGCGUAGAGAUCGUAAGGAAGACCAGUGGCGAAGGCGGGUCUCUAGACAGUUCCUGACACUGAGGCACGAAGGCCAGGGGAGCAAACGGG
RNAcentral lists this ribosomal RNA (253 nucleotides) under uncultured bacterium. RNAcentral's name for it is "partial 16S ribosomal RNA". It matches the Rfam family "Bacterial small subunit ribosomal RNA", at positions 524 to 776 of the family's 1533-position model. The record is from RNAcentral.